UUAACGUGAACUUCUCGUUACUAAUAUACUUAAACUUUAAAAUAAACUAAACAUUGUCCAUAAAAAUAUUAAACCUAAAAAUAAAACCUUACUUGCUAAUAUAAACACUACUUACUUAAACUAUAAACUAUAAAUAAUUAAAUACUAAAUAAAACUAAACAUAAUACUAACUUUCAAACAAAAUCCUAAUCCAUACGUCAUUUAAAUGUGCAUCGAAAUGUUACUGCGCUGUUCUCGCUAUUAAAAUCGUACGGGUUAUUUGGUGUUUUGUUUACCGCGUCUCAAAGUAAAAAACUGCCGUGAGGAUCGCACCGGCGGCGCCACGCAGACUAGCUUGGCGGCCGAGACGAGUGCGGUCGUCCCUACUGCAUUGAAUGCAAACCUAUUUCACGCUCGACUGAUUUCUCAAGUCGUUCAUAAGCGAUUUACUAUUUUCGCAUACUUCUAUUAGUGCUAGUAACACUUUACUACUGCAAGAUCAGUGUUAAUUAUAAUUAUUUCAACCCCUUGACCGGGGUUUUUAUGCCGGGCAUAAUAUUAAGGGCAGACUACACCACGCUCAAGCAAGGACGAAGCCAACUGAAGCUGUCAAACACCUACCUCAGGCCAGUGUUGGAACUACUUAACCGUCCCGGUGAUACCAAAUUACUUUUAAUAAGAAAGAACCUGACCCUGAGACUAUUUAAUUUUAGAUUUUUAUUAUUAAGAGAUAAUUGCAGAAGUUCAAUAAACUUAUUAUUUUGUU
Molecule: long non-coding RNA, 745 nt
Organism: Ostrinia nubilalis (European corn borer)
Lineage: Eukaryota; Metazoa; Arthropoda; Insecta; Lepidoptera; Crambidae
Exons: 2
Source: RefSeq, a predicted model, not a curated record